ACCACAGCAGGAAGUGGAAGACUACAAAUGGAAGCGUAGGGACGAGGGCUUGCAGGAAGGGGCGGAGCUAACGGAGGGAAAGGUCCCCGCCCUUCGCUGCGCUUCCCCCGGAAAGGCGUCAUCGGCUCUAUAAGGCAGUGUGCGGCGGCAAACUCGGCCUUUUGCGUCCGGGAAGUGCGCAGGUUGUGGUCCUUGACCUGUUUGUGUCUUGUCUGCUAAAAUGAUUUCGUCAGAACAUAAGGACGUGAUUAAACUGCAGAAAGCUCAAAAUUCUUGCUUUAGUGGUAGGAGGCGGUCAGUCUUAAAAGUCUUUAGUUUUGAGGACCCGAACAGAUUUCGACAUGCAUUAGAUUGCAUAACGGCCACGUGCAGCCUAGGAUCCUGAGCGGGCGAGCGGGCGCCCAUGAAUGCUCCCGGAGACGCCGGCGAGGCGUGAGCUCCAAGGCCGCCCGCAUGUGAGCGUUUUGAGCCCAUAUUUGGCGCCAGAGCACUCAGAACCGCCACCAUUUGAGCACGUGAUAAUCAAGAAAUCUAAAGCGGUAAAUGGCGAAGUGUCAUCCGUGUUUCAGUGGAUCACCAAACUUUAAACUCUUAGAACUGGGCGUUUUGAACAGUCUGGAAACUACUGAAGUAGUAUUUUGAACAUGAUGUCUGAAUUGUUUAAAUUAAUAUUUAAGGUACUUCCUUGAUGUAAUUGAAUAAAAUGCUUGAUUUGUGUA
Cavia porcellus (domestic guinea pig) is the source of this 719-nucleotide long non-coding RNA. RefSeq lists it as uncharacterized. The record is from RefSeq and is a predicted model, not a curated record. Lineage: Eukaryota; Metazoa; Chordata; Mammalia; Rodentia; Caviidae. The transcript has 2 exons.